GACGUACUUGUACUGAUUGAGAUUUUAACACGAAGUGAGUGGCGAACGGGUGAGUAACACGUGGGUAACCUGCCCAGAAGUAGGGGAUAACACCUGGAAACAGAUGCUAAUACCGUAUAACAGAGAAAACCGCAUGGUUUUCUUUUAAAAGAUGGCUCUGCUAUCACUUCUGGAUGGACCCGCGGCGUAUUAGCUAGUUGGUGAGGUAAAGGCUCACCAAGGCAGUGAUACGUAGCCGACCUGAGAGGGUAAUCGGCCACAUUGGGACUGAGACACGGCCCAGACUCCUACGGGAGGCAGCAGUAGGGAAUCUUCCACAAUGGACGCAAGUCUGAUGGAGCAACGCCGCGUGAGUGAAGAAGGGUUUCGGCUCGUAAAGCUCUGUUGUUAAAGAAGAACGUGGGUAAGAGUAACUGUUUACCCAGUGACGGUAUUUAACCAGAAAGCCACGGCUAACUACGUGCCAGCAGCCGCGGUAAUACGUAGGUGGCAAGCGUUAUCCGGAUUUAUUGGGCGUAAAGCGAGCGCAGGCGGUCUUUUAAGUCUAAUGUGAAAGCCUUCGGCUCAACCGAAGAAGUGCAUUGGAAACUGGGAGACUUGAGUGCAGAAGAGGACAGUGGAACUCCAUGUGUAGCGGUGAAAUGCGUAGAUAUAUGGAAGAACACCAGUGGCGAAGGCGGCUGUCUGGUCUGCAACUGACGCUGAGGCUCGAAAGCAUGGGUAGCGAACAGGAUUAGAUACCCUGGUAGUCCAUGCCGUAAACGAUGAUUACUAAGUGUUGGAGGGUUUCCGCCCUUCAGUGCUGCAGCUAACGCAUUAAGUAAUCCGCCUGGGGAGUACGACCGCAAGGUUGAAACUCAAAAGAAUUGACGGGGGCCCGCACAAGCGGUGGAGCAUGUGGUUUAAUUCGAAGCUACGCGAAGAACCUUACCAGGUCUUGACAUCUUCUGACAGUCUAAGAGAUUAGAGGUUCCCUUCGGGGACAGAAUGACAGGUGGUGCAUGGUUGUCGUCAGCUCGUGUCGUGAGAUGUUGGGUUAAGUCCCGCAACGAGCGCAACCCUUAUUACUAGUUGCCAGCAUUAAGUUGGGCACUCUAGUGAGACUGCCGGUGACAAACCGGAGGAAGGUGGGGACGACGUCAAAUCAUCAUGCCCCUUAUGACCUGGGCUACACACGUGCUACAAUGGAUGGUACAACGAGUCGCGAAACCGCGAGGUUAAGCUAAUCUCUUAAAACCAUUCUCAGUUCGGACUGUAGGCUGCAACUCGCCUACACGAAGUCGGAAUCGCUAGUAAUCGCGGAUCAGCAUGCCGCGGUGAAUACGUUCCCGGGCCUUGUACACACCGCCCGUCACACCAUGAGAGUUUGUAACACCCAAAGCCGGUGG
This 1388-nucleotide ribosomal RNA is filed under the name Pediococcus pentosaceus. Its description in RNAcentral is "bacterial SSU rRNA". It matches the Rfam family "Bacterial small subunit ribosomal RNA", at positions 61 to 1433 of the family's 1533-position model. Lineage: Bacteria; Bacillati; Bacillota; Bacilli; Lactobacillales; Lactobacillaceae. The record is from RNAcentral.